This 2103-nucleotide ribosomal RNA is filed under the name Triticum aestivum (bread wheat). RNAcentral's name for it is "partial small subunit ribosomal RNA". The record is from RNAcentral. Lineage: Eukaryota; Viridiplantae; Streptophyta; Magnoliopsida; Poales; Poaceae.
AUGGCGGCUCCGAGAUGGACGUGUUGCUCAGGCGGCAGCAGGACCCUUCUGGCGCAGCUCCGUGCGCUCAUCCUGCCCGCGCUUCGCGGCGCUGACGGCAGGUCGGCCGCAGGGGCGGCGCCAGGGGUCUUCUUGGAACCUGGCGCCGCCACUAACUCGGCCGACCUUGCAAUUGGCCUCUUUGACGACGUGAUCGAUUGCAUCGCCGGGGUCAUGUCCAGGCUCCAAGGGAUGAGUACCGCGGGCGGUCAUGGAUCGGCGACGGCGCCCUUCGACCUCGCCGACGUUGACGUAAUUUCGCCAAACGCUGGCGGGGAACAUGACGAGAAGCCUGUGAUCAGCAACGUUGCUCAGAAGAGAAGUCUCAUCCCCCGGUCUCUCCACUCACUCGAGGUCUCUUGCCCCUGCAUCUUUCCUCCCCUGCAUCAACAGUUCUCUCCCCUCCCCUCUCUCGCGGCAUCCUCGCCGCAUAUGUCCCAUAUCCUCCCAUGUCCCUCUUUUUUGUUCCUUGAUCAAAUUUAUUUUGUUCCAUGGAAAGAGUAUGGUGAGGAGGAGGAUGAAGGCGACGAAAACACGAGAAAUGGUGCAAAGAAUGACCCUGGUAUGGACCUAAUUCAAAAUGGGAAAAUGGCACGAUCACUACCAGAAUUUCAAAACUUCGACCAAGGAGACGUGGACAUGCCGGCUCUAAUAAAGCAUUCAUUUUGCAAGCUUCUCACUCGCCAUGAUGGUUCUCUAGACUUUAGAAAAGAAGAGCCAGACAAGCAACAGUGUGGAGGUGUACAACUCUAUGAUGUUGGUCUAGUCUUCCCGGAGGUUGUGAUCUUUGUGGAUGUGUCGUCAUGUAUGAAGGUCAACAGGAUAUUCAAAGACAUCAUAGGAAUCAACCUAGUCAGGUCUAUACAAGCAGGUUUACUCAAGCAGGUUUGGAAGCACAAGAAUAUGCCGCCUAGGGUUCAAACUUUUGCUUGGAGAUUACUUCGCAAGACCCUCCCAACAGGUUUGAGAGCAUCUCGUUUCUCUACUCACAUUGAUAAAGAGUGUUGUCGUUGUGCUCAAGAUGAGGAUGAAUUGCAUUUGUUUUUCAGUUGUGCAUAUGCUAGGGCUACAUGGUUUGCGCAUCUUUGGUAUCUUAGGACUGAUAUCUUAACUGAAGAUCAUCAUUCUAUGCAGGCUCUUAUACAUGCUCUUCUGACCAUGAACCACCCUCAUGCAUCAGAAAGCUCAUAUAUAGCAGAGUUCUACAACACCACCCGGCAGUUGCAAUCGCAGGGUCACCACCAUGGCCGCCGCCCUCGCGCGCCGCGCCGCCGCCGCCAUCCCCCGCCACCUCGCCGUCGCCGCCGCCACCGCAGCUCCCACCAUCUCGCCCGCCGCCGCCGCCCGCUACCGUUUCCCGGGCGCGUUCGUCCGCCGCCGCGGCCACCACACCGGCGCCUCCCGCAGAUGGAGCAGCGCAUCGCGGAGCUCGAGAAGCGCAUCGGGGCCCUGGAAGCGGGCGCUGCCAAGGGCCUCGAGGGGUCGCAUCCCGUCCGCCAGCUCGAGGAGCGUGUCGCCCGCCUCGAGGUCGACCACCAGAAGCAGACUGCGCGCAUCUUCGUCGAGAUCGAUCAGAAGAUGGUGACGCUGGAGCUGAAGCUGGACAAGGCCUCGUUCGAUCAGUACAAGGAGGUCCAGGCCGGGCUGAACAAUCUCCAGGUCAGGUGCGGCACUUCAUCUGACCAGAUCCGGUCUCUUGCGGUCGCAUCAGCCGCACGCGAUAUCAAGGUGGACAAGCAGCACGCCCAGUGCCUUGUACAGAUCAAGAAGAACACAUGGAAAGUUGCAUGUACCGUCCUCCUGGGCGUUUCUGCGGUAGCUUUUGGGGUGAUGAACAUAGUGAGCGCCCACUCAAGAGAUGACAACCUCAAGGCAGCAGAUACCCUGUUCCAGAAGAAAAUCGCUAAGCUUGAGAAGGACUUCAAUACCAAGCUCGACUACACAGCGAAGCAGGCCGUCGAGGUUGUGCUAGCCAAGCGGGCACUCGAGGAGAGCAGCGCCCGGGACCAGCCUCCUCCGGGCACUGGCGGCACCUCCUCCGGAGGCUCAGGCGGCUCCCCUUAG